This 217-nucleotide signal recognition particle RNA is filed under the name Clostridiales bacterium. RNAcentral describes it as "signal recognition particle sRNA large type". It matches the Rfam family "Bacterial large signal recognition particle RNA". Rfam says of the family: The signal recognition particle (SRP) is a universally conserved ribonucleoprotein involved in the co-translational targeting of proteins to membranes. Archaeal SRP consists of a 7S RNA and homologues of the eukaryotic SRP19 and SRP54 proteins. The record is from RNAcentral. RNAcentral also lists the same sequence under 1 other name. Lineage: Bacteria; Bacillati; Bacillota; Clostridia; Eubacteriales.
UUUUCCUUUUUCAUGGUACAAUAAAAAAGUAAUACCGAAGAACUGCCUUUAUAAGGCAGCGCUUCCGGAUGAUGAGAGACGGGCGCGGCGCAAUAGCGAGCCGUGAACCAUGUCAGGCGGGGAACCGAGCAGCAUUAAGCGGGCCUUGCCUAUGUGUGCCGAAUUCCUGUUUUGAGUCCGGUGGCGCUGUCUUAUAAGGGCGGUUCUUUUUGGAAGG